RNAcentral lists this ribosomal RNA (274 nucleotides) under uncultured prokaryote. RNAcentral's name for it is "partial 16S ribosomal RNA". It matches the Rfam family "Bacterial small subunit ribosomal RNA", at positions 524 to 796 of the family's 1533-position model. The record is from RNAcentral.
UACGGAGGGGGCUAGCGUUGUUCGGAAUUACUGGGCGUAAAGCGCACGUAGGCGGCGAUUUAAGUCAGAGGUGAAAGCCCGGGGCUCAACCCCGGAACUGCCUUUGAGACUGGAUUGCUUGAAUCCGGGAGAGGUGAGUGGAAUUCCGAGUGUAGAGGUGAAAUUCGUAGAUAUUCGGAAGAACACCAGUGGCGAAGGCGGCUCACUGGACCGGCAUUGACGCUGAGGUGCGAAAGCGUGGGGAGCAAACAGGAUUAGAAACCCCGGGUAGUCC